UUGAAGGAUAAGAAUGUCUUGUGUGUUUGGCAAGUUUACAAGCGUCACAAACUAACAAUUCUUAUUUGCAUUGUCUAAACAAAACGGGAUAUAACCUUUCUAAGGUUGGAAAAGAGGGAUGUCCUAAUCUCUUAUGCCAUUGAAUGAUUUCUUAAUCGACUCUUAUUGAAUUUCCUACCAAGGCUUUAGGGUUUGAGAAACCAUUAUUGUCAUCUAGCAAAUACAAGCUAUCUUGCAAUCUACUACUAUCAAUCGUUCUCUCUAUUUUCAGUUCCUGAAAUACACAAUGGGUAGAAAAAAAAUUCAAUUUUACAAUUAAGGGCUUUAGUAAUAGAGUAAACAGAUAAAACGUUAAUAUGAAAACUGAGCACAUACAAAAUUGAAGUAAGAUUUAUAGUGGGAGUACAUUCAAUAGAAACUGCUAUAGAGAUAUUGGCUAAGGAUCCAUCCGCUAUACAGACUUUUUCUUUUGUUGAAUAUGG
RNAcentral lists this unclassified non-coding RNA (482 nucleotides) under Hevea brasiliensis (rubber tree). The record is from RNAcentral. Lineage: Eukaryota; Viridiplantae; Streptophyta; Magnoliopsida; Malpighiales; Euphorbiaceae.